GAAGAGCCACAGGAGUAUACUUGCUGAAAGAAAGAGAUGACUUUUGAAAGUUAACCAAUUGUCCAGAUGCGUUCUCAUAGAUGAGAAGAAUACGCUUGAGCUCCAACGCCUCUUGAACAUUUGCUCUGAAGAAAAUCAAGCUAUCAUCCGCGAAAAAAAGGUGGGAGAUCUGCGGGCCACCCCGUGAUAUCCUGAACCCAUGAAGACUGCCA
RNAcentral lists this long non-coding RNA (212 nucleotides) under Manihot esculenta (cassava). RNAcentral's name for it is "long non-coding RNA (MESC_LNC011110)". The record is from RNAcentral. Lineage: Eukaryota; Viridiplantae; Streptophyta; Magnoliopsida; Malpighiales; Euphorbiaceae.